Molecule: ribosomal RNA, 254 nt
Filed under: uncultured prokaryote
Description: partial 16S ribosomal RNA
Rfam family: Bacterial small subunit ribosomal RNA
Source: RNAcentral
UACGUAGGGAGCGAGCGUUGUCCGAAGUUACUGGGCGUAAAGCGCGCGUAGGCGGGCUAUUAAGUGAGAGGUGAAAGGCUGGGGCUCAACCUCAUGCAGUGCCUCUCAUACUGGUAGUCUUGAGGGCGGUAGAGAGAAGUGGAAUGGCUGGUGUAGCGGUGAAAUGCGUAGAUAUCUAAGGGAACGCCUGUGGCGAAAGCGGGUGACUGGGCCUGUCCUGACGCUGAGACGCGAAAGCGUAGGGAGCAAACGGG